CUCAAGCCCAAGAACGGAAAGUCUUGGUCCUGAACCUAUCACUAUUUUUUCCCAAAACUAUACAUGCAAGUCUCAACAAAACGGUGAGUAACCCACCAAAUCAGUAAAGAACAAAAGGAGUAAGAUAAGACCCGGGCCAGCCCCCAUCAAAAAUAAAGGAACCCCCCCACACCUACACAGGAAUUCAGCAGUAAUUAACAUUAGGCCAUAAGCGAAAGCUUGACCUAGCUAUAGGAAAGAAAGCCGGUAAAACUCGUGCCAGCUACCGCGGUUAUACGAGAGGCUUAAAAUAGUGCACUUCGGCGAAAACAUGGCCAGAGCACAUCAAAUAGGCCUAAGGAAAAAGGAAAAGCAAGCCGUCCAACGCCAAGAACAAACGAACCCCUUCCCCUUGCCCCAACGACCCCUUAAACCAUAAAAGCCGAGGAACAAACUAGGAUUAGAGACCCUACUAUGCUCGGCCGUGAAAGGCUAAGCCCGCCCGACAAAUACGAGCGAAAGCUUAAAACUCAAAGGACUUGACGGUGCCCCACAUCAGCCUAGAGGAGCCUGUCCUAUAAUCGACACCCCACGUUAAAACCUCACCACCCCUAGCCAAUCAGCCUAUAUACCGCCGUCGUCAGCCCACCCUGCAAAAGAACAAAAGUGGGCAAAAUAGUUCACUACACUAAAACGACAGGUCAAAGCGUAGUACAUGGGGUGGGCUGAGAUGGGCUACAUUUUCUAAAACAGACCACACCAAAAAGCGCAUGAAAAACGCCAAACAGGAGGAUUUAGCAGUAAGACGGAAUAGAAAGCCCGUCUGAACACAGCACUGGGGCACGCACACACCGCCCGUCACCCCCCUCAACCCGCAGCUUAUGUUUCAUAAAAUCAAUGCAAAACUAAGAUGGGGAAAGUCGUAACAAGGUGAGCGUACUGGAAAGUGCGCUCGUGCAC
RNAcentral lists this non-coding RNA (939 nucleotides) under Leptotyphlops conjunctus. RNAcentral describes it as "partial 12S ribosomal RNA". It matches the Rfam family "Bacterial small subunit ribosomal RNA". Lineage: Eukaryota; Metazoa; Chordata; Lepidosauria; Squamata; Leptotyphlopidae. The record is from RNAcentral.